Molecule: unclassified non-coding RNA, 25 nt
Filed under: Mus musculus (house mouse)
Lineage: Eukaryota; Metazoa; Chordata; Mammalia; Rodentia; Muridae
Description: oocyte_clustered_small_RNA3664
Source: RNAcentral
UGUGGAUAUUGGUGGGCGUCCCAUC